This is a long non-coding RNA of Passer domesticus (house sparrow), 1185 nucleotides long. RefSeq lists it as uncharacterized. NCBI's taxonomy places the organism in Eukaryota, Metazoa, Chordata, Aves, Passeriformes, Passeridae. The transcript has 2 exons. The record is from RefSeq and is a predicted model, not a curated record.
UGAAUGGCUGUUGCUGGGAAAUGGUGUUUAUAAUUAAAAUUUUCCCUUUAAAAUCUAUUCCAGCGUGGAAGGUACGGGCCAGGUGAUGUGCCAGCCCAUGCCAAAGGACAGGUGGCAUCCAGGGAGGUUCUUCACAUUCCUGUGGUUAUUGUAAAGUAUCUUCCAGACACAAAAACAGACAUCAAAUCCCCCACAUUUUUAAUGGUUAUAGUCAUGGUGGCAUGUUAUUGAAGGAAAUUUAUAUCCAGCACCUGUCUCCCACUUGCCUCUGGUACUCCAACUAUUACCUCAUAUAUAUUUUAUUAUCUGUUCCGAUAGCAGGUUCACAACAAAUGGAAAAUAUGUGCAGUGAUAAGCACAGGAAGCUGCAAUUUUACACCUACAAGCUAAGAUGAAAGCAAGGUGUUUGUUCCGCUCUUGGCAAAAAACAAGGAGUUGUGUUUGUGCAGCCCCUUCCCAGCUGCUUGAGAGACACCCUGGGAAUUCCUGCUGGCUCCAGCGUGUAACCUGAUUCAUGGCAAGGAACCCAGGAGGGAGGAACCCCAGCUUAUCAGAAAGAAGGAAAAAGUGCAGGUGGAGAGCAGGAGAGGGAGGGUCACUUGAACUUUGGGCUCCCCUGUCACAUUCCUGGCUGGCUGCCAGCUCUGCUCUCCCUGGAGAAGUGGAAUCAGCUCCUCAGAGGUGAGAUUCACCUGGAGCGAGCUGCACCUCGUCCUCCUGCCUCCUAAAAAGCUGCUAUCAUCAUUACUCUCAAAAGUGCUCUCUAGGAGGCAUUUUAUCUUCAUGAAAUGAGAUUUAUUAAGUUAAGAGCAAUACACGAAUCAGGUAUUGUUGACACAACUUGGUUUUCUUGACUCAUAAAAGUAAAUUUUCUACUUUAUUGAUGGGAAAGUGUGAUGUUUUCUAUUCCCAUGCUACUCCUGUAAAAUUCACGGUGUUGUUUUUGUUUUCACUGUUAAACACUUGGAAAGCUAUGAAAUAUCCUUCUCAAUGUAGACCGAAACCUAGAGGAAAACGACCAAAUUUUAGGUGCUCCCCAAAGGGGAGCCCAAGGGAUUGGCCAUGCCAGAGUCAUCCUGGGGUUUCACAGUAAAACACUGCCAGCGAUGGCAAGGAUCCCCUUGCUUUUUCCUAGAGCACAGGCAAGGAUGGAGCCUUCCUAGUGCUGGCAAAUUAAGCUUUUUU